RNAcentral lists this ribosomal RNA (494 nucleotides) under uncultured bacterium. Its description in RNAcentral is "partial 16S ribosomal RNA". It matches the Rfam family "Bacterial small subunit ribosomal RNA", at positions 28 to 507 of the family's 1533-position model. The record is from RNAcentral.
GACGAACGCUGGCGGCGUGCUUAACACAUGCAAGUCGAACGGUGAAGCGCCUUCCUUUUUGGUGGGUGUGGAUGAGUGGCGAACGGGUGAGUAACACGUGAGUAACCUGCCCCCUUCUUCUGGAUAACCGCAUGAAAGUGUGGCUAAUACGGGAUAUUCUGGGUCUGUCGCAUGAUGGGUCUGGGAAAGAUAUUGUUUCGGUGGGGGAUGGGCUUGCGGCCUAUCAGCUUGUUGGUGGGGUGAUGGCCUACCAAGGCGGUGACGGGUAGCCGGCCUGAGAGGGUGGACGGUCACACUGGGACUGAGACACGGCCCAGACUCCUACGGGAGGCAGCAGUGGGGAAUAUUGCACAAUGGGCGCAGGCCUGAUGCAGCGACGCCGCGUGAGGGAUGGAGGCCUUCGGGUUGUGAACCUCUUUCGCCAGUGAAGCAGGCCUGCCUCGUUUGUGGGUGGGUUGACGGUAGCUGGAUAAGAAGCGCCGGCUAACUACGUG